GACGAACGCUGGCGGCGUGCUUAACACAUGCAAGUCGAACGGAAAGGCCCUGCUUUUGUGGGGUGCUCGAGUGGCGGACGGGUGAGUAACACGUGAGUAACCUGCCCUUGACUUUGGGAUAACUUCAGGAAACUGGGGCUAAUACCGGAUAGGAGCUCCUGCUGCAUGGUGGGGGUUGGAAAGUUUCGGCGGUUGGGGAUGGACUCGCGGCUUAUCAGCUUGUUGGUGGGGUAGUGGCUUACCAAGGCUUUGACGGGUAGCCGGCCUGAGAGGGUGACCGGCCACAUUGGGACUGAGAUACGGCCCAGACUCCGACGGGAGGCAGCAGUGGGGAAUAUUGCACAAUGGGCGGAAGCCUGAUGCAGCAACGCCGCGUGCGGGAUGACGGCCUUCGGGUUGUAAACCGCUUUCGCCUGUGACGAAGCGUGAGUGACGGUAAUGGGUAAAGAAGCACCGGCUAACUACGUGC
Molecule: ribosomal RNA, 469 nt
Filed under: uncultured bacterium
Lineage: Bacteria
Description: partial 16S ribosomal RNA
Rfam family: Bacterial small subunit ribosomal RNA
Source: RNAcentral